GACGAACGCUGGCGGCGUGCUUAACACAUGCAAGUCGAGCGGAAAGGCCACUUCGGUGGUACUCGAGCGGCGAACGGGUGAGUAACACGUGAGUAAUCUGCCCCUGGCUUUGGGAUAGCCACCGGAAACGGUGAUUAAUACCGGAUACGACCACUUCUCGCAUGGGAUGGUGGUGGAAAGUUUUUUCGGCCAGGGAUGUGCUCGCGGCCUAUCAGCUUGAUGGUGAGGUAAUGGCUCACCAUGGCUUCGACGGGUAGCCGGCCUGAGAGGGUGACCGGUCACACUGGGAAUGGGACACGGCCCAGACUCCUACGGGAGGCAGGAGUGGGGAAUAUUGGACAAUGGGCGGAAGCCUGAUCCAGCAACGCCGCGUGAGGGAUGACGGCCUUCGGGUUGUAAACCUCUUCCAGCUGGGACGAAGCGCAAGUGACGGUACCUGCAGAAGAAGCACCGGCCAACUACGUGCCAGCCGCCGCCGUAA
RNAcentral lists this ribosomal RNA (481 nucleotides) under uncultured bacterium. RNAcentral's name for it is "partial 16S ribosomal RNA". It matches the Rfam family "Bacterial small subunit ribosomal RNA", at positions 28 to 523 of the family's 1533-position model. The record is from RNAcentral.